AAGCCUUCAAAAAGGUUCACCAUGCAGCAUUUGGGUGGGCGUCAUUUCCUAGUUAGCCACCAAUUAAAGCAUCAUUUCUCAGAUUUCAAGGCGAAUAACUUCUUAUGCAACAAAAUCUUACUGGCUUAUUCGGGAAUAGGUUCGAUGGCUUCAAAAUAUUGCUCAACCUGGAUUGACCAUCAAAUACAAUACGCUAGCUCUCCAACUAAGAACCAUCAAGAUUGGAUACCCACAGCUCUAACAUACCAGUUCAUAAAAUUUGGUGAAAGGAAAAUCUUGCCUAACAACAGCACUACAAAACUUCUUCAAGGGAUUGCACCUCCCAAUGCCUAAAGGUCUCAGUUCUUCCUAUAAAUUACAAGAUGACCUAUAUCUGAACCUACCCUCAAACUUAUAUGCAAUCUGCCCUGAUCGGAUUCGUACACCUUUUGGCUAGAUGAGGCAAAAGGAUGACACUUGAAUGCUUUAGUUGAUCGGGUUCGUACACCUUUUGGCUAGAACAAUGUGCAACACAAAAACUUCUACCCAAACCUUAAGUUGUAAGGUGGAAGCCCUAUAAAUUUCCAAAUAACCAUUUCCUUCUUUAUUAGAUUUGGGUCUUUCUUAAGCAUUAUUUUAUGUUUCAUCCGAAUUAAGCUUCAUGUCUUCAGUAUCCUUUUCCUCCUUAUUGCACCUGUGUUAGCCAUUUAAUUGAGGGUAGUGUGGUAGUACCUCAACUACCAAAAGGAACUGAACCUGUGUCUCUUGUGUCUCAGAUGGGCCUUUGGAUUCCUUUUAAUAUAGUGAUUUGCUUUCAUAAAAAUUAUAGCCACACUGAGCAGAAAACAACAAUUUACCACCAUAUGGCCUGACUAGUAGUAGUAAUAUCGGAGUGGGUUGUUGAGGUAUUUGGAAGUAUUAUUCCUGGUCAUUGAAGUAUAGCUGAAUUUGAAUGUCUUUGGUACUUCUUAAGUGAAAUAUAUUGUAAAAUAUACUGUAAUAACUAUUCAUAUUUUAAUUAUUGUUAGU
This 1008-nucleotide long non-coding RNA is filed under the name Vigna radiata. RNAcentral's name for it is "long non-coding RNA (VRAD_LNC013020)". Lineage: Eukaryota; Viridiplantae; Streptophyta; Magnoliopsida; Fabales; Fabaceae. The record is from RNAcentral.